RNAcentral lists this ribosomal RNA (2793 nucleotides) under Escherichia coli. RNAcentral describes it as "partial 23S ribosomal RNA". It matches the Rfam family "Bacterial large subunit ribosomal RNA". The record is from RNAcentral. Lineage: Bacteria; Pseudomonadati; Pseudomonadota; Gammaproteobacteria; Enterobacterales; Enterobacteriaceae.
GGUUAAGCGACUAAGCGUACACGGUGGAUGCCCUGGCAGUCAGAGGCGAUGAAGGACGUGCUAAUCUGCGAUAAGCGUCGGUAAGGUGAUAUGAACCGUUAUAACCGGCGAUUUCCGAAUGGGGAAACCCAGUGUGAUUCGUCACACUAUCAUUAACUGAAUCCAUAGGUUAAUGAGGCGAACCGGGGGAACUGAAACAUCUAAGUACCCCGAGGAAAAGAAAUCAACCGAGAUUCCCCCAGUAGCGGCGAGCGAACGGGGAGCAGCCCAGAGCCUGAAUCAGUGUGUGUGUUAGUGGAAGCGUCUGGAAAGGCGCGCGAUACAGGGUGACAGCCCCGUACACAAAAAUGCACAUGCUGUGAGCUCGAUGAGUAGGGCGGGACACGUGGUAUCCUGUCUGAAUAUGGGGGGACCAUCCUCCAAGGCUAAAUACUCCUGACUGACCGAUAGUGAACCAGUACCGUGAGGGAAAGGCGAAAAGAACCCCGGCGAGGGGAGUGAAAAAGAACCUGAAACCGUGUACGUACAAGCAGUGGGAGCACGCUUAGGCGUGUGACUGCGUACCUUUUGUAUAAUGGGUCAGCGACUUAUAUUCUGUAGCAAGGUUAACCGAAUAGGGGAGCCGAAGGGAAACCGAGUCUUAACUGGGCGUUAAGUUGCAGGGUAUAGACCCGAAACCCGGUGAUCUAGCCAUGGGCAGGUUGAAGGUUGGGUAACACUAACUGGAGGACCGAACCGACUAAUGUUGAAAAAUUAGCGGAUGACUUGUGGCUGGGGGUGAAAGGCCAAUCAAACCGGGAGAUAGCUGGUUCUCCCCGAAAGCUAUUUAGGUAGCGCCUCGUGAAUUCAUCUCCGGGGGUAGAGCACUGUUUCGGCAAGGGGGUCAUCCCGACUUACCAACCCGAUGCAAACUGCGAAUACCGGAGAAUGUUAUCACGGGAGACACACGGCGGGUGCUAACGUCCGUCGUGAAGAGGGAAACAACCCAGACCGCCAGCUAAGGUCCCAAAGUCAUGGUUAAGUGGGAAACGAUGUGGGAAGGCCCAGACAGCCAGGAUGUUGGCUUAGAAGCAGCCAUCAUUUAAAGAAAGCGUAAUAGCUCACUGGUCGAGUCGGCCUGCGCGGAAGAUGUAACGGGGCUAAACCAUGCACCGAAGCUGCGGCAGCGACGCUUAUGCGUUGUUGGGUAGGGGAGCGUUCUGUAAGCCUGCGAAGGUGUGCUGUGAGGCAUGCUGGAGGUAUCAGAAGUGCGAAUGCUGACAUAAGUAACGAUAAAGCGGGUGAAAAGCCCGCUCGCCGGAAGACCAAGGGUUCCUGUCCAACGUUAAUCGGGGCAGGGUGAGUCGACCCCUAAGGCGAGGCCGAAAGGCGUAGUCGAUGGGAAACAGGUUAAUAUUCCUGUACUUGGUGUUACUGCGAAGGGGGGACGGAGAAGGCUAUGUUGGCCGGGCGACGGUUGUCCCGGUUUAAGCGUGUAGGCUGGUUUUCCAGGCAAAUCCGGAAAAUCAAGGCUGAGGCGUGAUGACGAGGCACUACGGUGCUGAAGCAACAAAUGCCCUGCUUCCAGGAAAAGCCUCUAAGCAUCAGGUAACAUCAAAUCGUACCCCAAACCGACACAGGUGGUCAGGUAGAGAAUACCAAGGCGCUUGAGAGAACUCGGGUGAAGGAACUAGGCAAAAUGGUGCCGUAACUUCGGGAGAAGGCACGCUGAUAUGUAGGUGAAGUCCCUCGCGGAUGGAGCUGAAAUCAGUCGAAGAUACCAGCUGGCUGCAACUGUUUAUUAAAAACACAGCACUGUGCAAACACGAAAGUGGACGUAUACGGUGUGACGCCUGCCCGGUGCCGGAAGGUUAAUUGAUGGGGUCAGCGCAAGCGAAGCUCUUGAUCGAAGCCCCGGUAAACGGCGGCCGUAACUAUAACGGUCCUAAGGUAGCGAAAUUCCUUGUCGGGUAAGUUCCGACCUGCACGAAUGGCGUAAUGAUGGCCAGGCUGUCUCCACCCGAGACUCAGUGAAAUUGAACUCGCUGUGAAGAUGCAGUGUACCCGCGGCAAGACGGAAAGACCCCGUGAACCUUUACUAUAGCUUGACACUGAACAUUGAGCCUUGAUGUGUAGGAUAGGUGGGAGGCUUUGAAGUGUGGACGCCAGUCUGCAUGGAGCCGACCUUGAAAUACCACCCUUUAAUGUUUGAUGUUCUAACGUUGACCCGUAAUCCGGGUUGCGGACAGUGUCUGGUGGGUAGUUUGACUGGGGCGGUCUCCUCCUAAAGAGUAACGGAGGAGCACGAAGGUUGGCUAAUCCUGGUCGGACAUCAGGAGGUUAGUGCAAUGGCAUAAGCCAGCUUGACUGCGAGCGUGACGGCGCGAGCAGGUGCGAAAGCAGGUCAUAGUGAUCCGGUGGUUCUGAAUGGAAGGGCCAUCGCUCAACGGAUAAAAGGUACUCCGGGGAUAACAGGCUGAUACCGCCCAAGAGUUCAUAUCGACGGCGGUGUUUGGCACCUCGAUGUCGGCUCAUCACAUCCUGGGGCUGAAGUAGGUCCCAAGGGUAUGGCUGUUCGCCAUUUAAAGUGGUACGCGAGCUGGGUUUAGAACGUCGUGAGACAGUUCGGUCCCUAUCUGCCGUGGGCGCUGGAGAACUGAGGGGGGCUGCUCCUAGUACGAGAGGACCGGAGUGGACGCAUCACUGGUGUUCGGGUUGUCAUGCCAAUGGCACUGCCCGGUAGCUAAAUGCGGAAGAGAUAAGUGCUGAAAGCAUCUAAGCACGAAACUUGCCCCGAGAUGAGUUCUCCCUGAC